RNAcentral lists this ribosomal RNA (251 nucleotides) under uncultured Staphylococcus sp. RNAcentral's name for it is "partial 16S ribosomal RNA". It matches the Rfam family "Bacterial small subunit ribosomal RNA", at positions 89 to 334 of the family's 1533-position model. The record is from RNAcentral. Lineage: Bacteria; Bacillati; Bacillota; Bacilli; Caryophanales; Staphylococcaceae.
ACGUUAGCGGCGGACGGGUGAGUAACACGUGGGUAACCUACCUAUAAGACUGGGAUAACUUCGGGAAACCGGAGCUAAUACCGGAUAAUAUUUAGAACCGCAUGGUUCGAUAGUGAAAGAUGGUUUUGCUAUCACUUAUAGAUGGACCCGCGCCGUAUUAGCUAGUUGGUAAGGUAACGGCUUACCAAGGCGACGAUACGUAGCCGACCUGAGAGGGUGAUCGGCCACACUGGAACUGAGACACGGUCCAG